CCUACGGGAGGCAGCAGCAGUGGGAAUAUUGCACAAUGGGCGGAAGCCUGAUGCAGCAACGCCGCGUGCGGGAUGACGGCCUUCGGGUUGUAAACCGCUUUCAGCAGGGACGAAGCUUUUUGUGACGGUACCUGCAGAAGAAGCACCGGCUAACUACGUGCCAGCAGCCGCGGUAAUACGUAGGGUGCAAGCGUUGUCCGGAAUUAUUGGGCGUAAAGAGCUCGUAGGCGGUUUGUUGCGUCGGCUGUGAAAACCUGAGGCUCAACCUCAGGCCUGCAGUCGAUACGAGCAGACUAGAGUGUUGCAGGGGAGACUGGAAUUCCUGGUGUAGCGGUGAAAUGCGCAGAUAUCAGGAGGAACACCGGUGGCGAAGGCGGGUCUCUGGGCCGUAACUGACGCUGAGGAGCGAAA
Molecule: ribosomal RNA, 411 nt
Filed under: Asterionellopsis glacialis
Lineage: Eukaryota; Bacillariophyta; Plagiogrammaphyceae; Rhaphoneidales; Asterionellopsidaceae
Description: partial Bacterial small subunit ribosomal RNA
Rfam family: Bacterial small subunit ribosomal RNA
Source: RNAcentral